CGAGUGGCGGACGGGUGAGUAAUGUCUGGGAAACUGCCCGAUGGAGGGGGAUAACUACUGGAAACGGUAGCUAAUACCGCAUAACGUCGCAAGACCAAAGAGGGGGACCUUCGGGCCUCUUGCCAUCGGAUGUGCCCAGAUGGGAUUAGCUAGUAGGUGGGGUAACGGCUCACCUAGGCGACGAUCCCUAGCUGGUCUGAGAGGAUGACCAGCCACACUGGAACUGAGACACGGUCCAGACUCCUACGGGAGGCAGCAG
RNAcentral lists this ribosomal RNA (259 nucleotides) under uncultured bacterium. RNAcentral describes it as "partial 16S ribosomal RNA". It matches the Rfam family "Bacterial small subunit ribosomal RNA", at positions 92 to 354 of the family's 1533-position model. The record is from RNAcentral.